GACCUUGUAGCUCAGUUGAUAGAGCAUCGGACUUGCAAACCAAAGGUUGUGAGUUCGAUUCUCACCGCGGUCA
RNAcentral lists this transfer RNA (73 nucleotides) under Paramuricea clavata. It matches the Rfam family "tRNA". Rfam says of the family: Transfer RNA (tRNA) molecules are approximately 80 nucleotides in length. Their secondary structure includes four short double-helical elements and three loops (D, anti-codon, and T loops). Lineage: Eukaryota; Metazoa; Cnidaria; Anthozoa; Malacalcyonacea; Plexauridae. The record is from Rfam by way of RNAcentral.